GAGAUCAGGGGUCAAACCUGUAUUCUCAUGCAUAUUAGUUGGAUUUGUUUCCACUGCGCCACAAUGGGAAUUCCCACAGCCUUGUAAAUUAACUAUACUUAAAUAAAACUUUUUUAAAAAGGACAUGACUUAGAGACACACAGAUUUUGGCCUGUUUGGUUUUAAAGCUUUUUGGCCAUACCGAAGUUUGCACCCCUUAAGGUGGGUUUUUGUAAACUACACACCCGUGUUACCACUCCCCAAGUCAGCAUAAAGGUCUUUAUCAGCCCCCAAAACCACCUUCAUGCAUGCUUCUAGACCUGCCCUCUCCACCCAUAGGAGUAGCUGCUGUCCUAAGUCACAGCACCUUACGUGAAUUUUGUCUGUGAACUUGAUAGAAGUGACGUCAUGCAGCAUAUACUCUACACUACAUAUACAUACACUCUACUGUAAACAGAUUUUUGCAGCCCCUUCAGUAGGCCUGUUCUCUGGGGGGAGUUAGCAGUGUUUAUUUUUAGGUCAGUAAACAGGUGGAGGUACAAAGAGGUACAAACCGCUAUGUCCCCCAUCUUGCCAGCCCACUUCCUGACCUAUAACUUCAGUUAAGACAAAGGCCUGGGUUUAUACAGCUCCAGCAAGUCUAACUGGGAGACACCUUCAGAGGCUGAGGAACCCAAGGCUCAAAACUGAUUGACUGACUGUGGUCCUGGAAAAGGGAAGCCCAGGAUCUGAGAGGCCAGGGCUCCACUGGGUCUCAGGUCUCUCUGCAGAGCUCCUUCCUUACCCUCUCCUCCCGGACCUGGUUCUUUCACAGCUCCGCUCCCAGCCCCACACCCCAUGGACCUCCCUGCUGCUCUCCACCAGCUGGGUCUGACAGCACUUCUGUCUUCACUGCAGGACCACGUCCAGUUCCUCUUCACCUCUUCACACCCAGAGUCCAGUCUAACAACAGCAGGGCAGGAGCAGAGCCUCGCAGAGCUGGGAGCCUUUACCUGCCCCCAUGAUGGGGCAGUCAGGCAGUACCACCUCCCCCAGCCUCCGUCCCCCAGAGGAGAGAGAGAGAGAGACCAAGUAGGUUGUUGCAGAAAUCCCGGAAGCAGCAUUUCGAGAACACCCAGAAGCCCAGUACUGGUGAAGUGUGGGUGUAGGAGCAAUCGCUCAUCUGCUCCCUCGUGCGGCAGUCACUCACCAUGACGUUGGAACCACUGUCUGGGGAGGAACGGCAGCCAUCAGGGACACAGAGGUCCCAGGCAAAGGCCUGAACCCUCCCAUUCUCUCACGCCACAUGGACCCACCAUCCCUGGCCCCACAGCCUUCCCUGGGCCCCCAGAAUGCAGAGUCCUGGAACUGGGCAGGGACCAGGAGUCACCAGCCAUGAAUGAACUCUUCAGAAGUUGCCCCUGGAAGGUUGGUGGGAAAGAGCCAUAUGGAAAUACAGAAACAGUUGGAACAGUUGGGGUGAGCUGGGACUUGAGCAGAGUGAGGCGAAACAGCACCGGGGGUGGGACCAUUUGAGAAAAAGUUGGGCGAUGUAUUUAUUGGAGGUCGGAUUGCAGACAGGAGGUGUCUUGUUUAUUUUAUGGAUCAAACGUGAGAGAAGAUGCUAUCUCUGCUGCUAUUACACAUGUUAGAUGGGGCAAUCUUUGUGCCCAUAUACGGGGAUGUUCCCUGCUGCCCUGCUUAAGAGACUGAAAACUUGGAAGCAACCUAAAGGUCCAGCAGUAGGAGGAUGAGUAAAUCACUCCGACGUGUCCCUGCUGGGGAGAACUACCCAGUGGGUCAGUAGGAUGAGGACGCUGGUUAGAAACUGCUACAGAGGCACCAAGUUCCUGCAACUGCAGUUUUAAAAAGAACAGGGUUUGCAGUAGUAUGCUCCUGUUUGUGGAGAGGAAAAAACGGCAAAAUGGAGUAAACAGCCUAUUUGUAGAGGGUGGGAUGUGAUCACAGAAAGGUCAAUAAAGGCAAUUUUAAAAGUA
Sus scrofa (pig) is the source of this 1955-nucleotide long non-coding RNA. RefSeq lists it as uncharacterized. The record is from RefSeq and is a predicted model, not a curated record. NCBI's taxonomy places the organism in Eukaryota, Metazoa, Chordata, Mammalia, Artiodactyla, Suidae.